RNAcentral lists this ribosomal RNA (235 nucleotides) under uncultured bacterium. RNAcentral's name for it is "partial 16S ribosomal RNA". It matches the Rfam family "Bacterial small subunit ribosomal RNA", at positions 29 to 277 of the family's 1533-position model. The record is from RNAcentral.
AACGAACGCUGGCGGCAUGCCUAACACAUGCAAGUCGAACGUGAUCCGGGACUUCGGUUUCGGUGAAAGUGGCGGACGGGUGAGUAACGCGUGGGAACCUGCCCAGUGGUAGGGGAUAACCGCGGGAAACUGCGGCUAAUACCCUAUGUGCCCUGCGGGGCAAAGAUUCAUCGCCAUUGGAGGGGCCCGCGUCGGAUUAGGUAGUUGGUGGGGUAACGGCCGUACCAACGACCUU